GAUGAACGCUGGCGGCGUGCCUAAUACAUGCAAGUCGAGCGAACAGACGAGGAGCUUGCUCCUCUGACGUUAGCGGCGGACGGGUGAGUAACACGUGGAUAACCUACCUAUAAGACUGGGAUAACUUCGGGAAACCGGAGCUAAUACCGGAUAAUAUAUUGAACCGCAUGGUUCAAUAGUGAAAGACGGUUUUGCUGUCACUUAUAGAUGGAUCCGCGCCGCAUUAGCUAGUUGGUAAGGUAACGGCUUACCAAGGCGACGAUGCGUAGCCGACCUGAGAGGGUGAUCGGCCACACGGGACCUGGGACACGGUCCAGACUCCUACGGGAGGCAGCAGGAGGGAAUCUUCCGCAAGGGGCGAAAGCCUGACGGAGCAACGCCGCGGGGGUGAUGAAGGUCUGCGGAUCGUAAAACUCUGUUAUUAGGGAAGAACAAAUGUGUAAGUAACGAUGCACGUCUGGACGGUACCGAAGCAGAAAGCCACGGCAACCUACGU
Molecule: ribosomal RNA, 496 nt
Filed under: uncultured bacterium
Lineage: Bacteria
Description: partial 16S ribosomal RNA
Rfam family: Bacterial small subunit ribosomal RNA
Source: RNAcentral